UGCUAAGCACAUCAAUAACCUAUUUGGGGGAGUCAGUACUCACAUGUGAGAGGUUAGAAUCAGUGUUCUGCAGGGCUGUGAGUCUAGGUCCGCGGAUAGGUUGUCACAUAAAAAUCGAUUUUUUUUGUGACAACCUAUCCCGUGGACCCCACCGAUCCCAUGGACCUCAGGUUCACAGUCCUGCAGAGCACCGACCCUAACUCCUCAUAUGUGAGCCCUCACAGAUUCCCCCAAUAGAUUAUUUUGAUGCGCUUGGCGUUACUCGAGCCCAAGACCUCACCCUUUAAUAACUUUCCCACAGGACAAGAUGUCACCAAUUGAUCUGCACCUCAAUUGGUGACAGCUUGUCCUGUGUGAGAGUUGUUAAAAGGUGAGGUCUUGGGUUCGAGUAACGCCAAACGCAUCAAUAACCUACAUGGGGAAGUUAGUGAAGACUCAUCUGUGAGGGAUUAGGUCGGUGCUCUACAGAACUGUGAGCCGGGGAUCC
Molecule: long non-coding RNA, 487 nt
Filed under: Brassica napus (rape)
Lineage: Eukaryota; Viridiplantae; Streptophyta; Magnoliopsida; Brassicales; Brassicaceae
Description: long non-coding RNA (BNAP_LNC012252)
Source: RNAcentral